UAUGGUCCUUGUGAGAAAGCCGCCGCGGUAAUACGUAUGGGGCAAGCGUUAUCCGGAUUUACUGGGUGUAAAGGGAGCGUAGGCGGCAUGGCAAGUCAGAAGUGAAAGCCUGGGGCUCAACCCCGGAAUUGCUUUUGAAACUGUCAGGCUAGAGUGUCGGAGGGGUAAGCGGAAUUCCUAGUGUAGCGGUGAAAUGCGUAGAUAUUAGGAGGAACACCGGUGGCGAAGGCGGCUUACUGGACGAUUACUGACGCUGAGGCUCGAAAGCGUGGGGAGCAAACAGG
This 284-nucleotide ribosomal RNA is filed under the name Eubacterium ventriosum. RNAcentral's name for it is "partial 16S ribosomal RNA". It matches the Rfam family "Bacterial small subunit ribosomal RNA", at positions 487 to 776 of the family's 1533-position model. Lineage: Bacteria; Bacillati; Bacillota; Clostridia; Eubacteriales; Eubacteriaceae. The record is from RNAcentral.